AGGGCUACACACGUGCUACAAUGGUCGGGUACAAAGGGUUGCCAAGCCGCGAGGUGGAGCUAAUCCCAUAAAACCGAUCGUAGUCCGGAUCGCAGUCUGCAACUCGACUGCGUGAAGUCGGAAUCGCUAGUAAUCGUGAAUCAGAAUGUCACGGUGAAUACGGUUCCCGGGCCUU
This 175-nucleotide ribosomal RNA is filed under the name uncultured Pseudomonas sp. RNAcentral's name for it is "partial 16S ribosomal RNA". It matches the Rfam family "Bacterial small subunit ribosomal RNA", at positions 1210 to 1382 of the family's 1533-position model. Lineage: Bacteria; Pseudomonadati; Pseudomonadota; Gammaproteobacteria; Pseudomonadales; Pseudomonadaceae. The record is from RNAcentral.